Molecule: ribosomal RNA, 497 nt
Filed under: uncultured bacterium
Lineage: Bacteria
Description: partial 16S ribosomal RNA
Rfam family: Bacterial small subunit ribosomal RNA
Source: RNAcentral
GAUGAACGCUGGCGGCGUGCCUAAUACAUGCAAGUCGAGCGAACAGAUGAGGAGCUUGCUCCUCUGACGUUAGCGGCGGACGGGUGAGUAACACGUGGAUAACCUACCUAUAAGACUGGGAUAACUUCGGGAAACCGGAGCUAAUACCGGAUAAUAUAUUGAACCGCAUGGUUCAAUAGUGAAAGACGGUUUUGCUGUCACUUAUAGAUGGAUCCGCGCCGCAUUAGCUAGUUGGUAAGGUAACGGCUUACCAAGGCAACGAUGCGUAGCCGACCUGAGAGGGUGAUCGGCCACACUGGAACUGAGACACGGUCCAGACUCCUACGGGAGGCAGCAGUAGGGAAUCUUCCGCAAUGGGCGAAAGCCUGACGGAGCAACGCCGCGUGAGUGAUGAAGGUCUUCGGAUCGUAAAACUCUGUUAUUGGGGAAGAACAAAUGUGUAAGUAACUAUGCACGUCUUGACGGUACCUAAUGAGAAAGCCACGGCUAACUACGUG